RNAcentral lists this ribosomal RNA (456 nucleotides) under uncultured bacterium. RNAcentral's name for it is "bacterial SSU rRNA". It matches the Rfam family "Bacterial small subunit ribosomal RNA", at positions 340 to 786 of the family's 1533-position model. The record is from RNAcentral.
UACGGAAGGCAGCAGUGGGGAAUAUUGCACAAUGGGCGCAAGCCUGAUGCAGCCAUGCCGCGUGUAUGAAGAAGGCCUUCGGGUUGUAAAGUACUUUCAGUCGUGAGGAAGGUGUUAAGGUUAAUAACCUUAGCAAUUGACGUUAGCGACAGAAGAAGCACCGGCUAACUCCGUGCCAGCAGCCGCGGUAAUACGGAGGGUGCGAGCGUUAAUCGGAAUUACUGGGCGUAAAGGGCACGCAGGCGGUUAAUUAAGUUGGAUGUGAAUCCCCGGGCUUAACCUGGGAAUGGCAUUCAAGACUGGUUAGCUAGAGUCUUGUAGAGGGGGUAGAAUUCCAUGUGUAGCGGUGAAAUGCGUAGAGAUGUGGAGGAAUACCGGGUGGCGAAGGCGGCCCCUGGGACAAAGGACUGACGCUCAUGUGCGAAAGCGUGGGGAGCGAAACAGGGAUUAGAUACC